Molecule: long non-coding RNA, 1399 nt
Filed under: Homo sapiens (human)
Lineage: Eukaryota; Metazoa; Chordata; Mammalia; Primates; Hominidae
Description: HSALNT0299550
Source: RNAcentral
CUUUUUCAAUACCCUCUGCUAAUCCCCGCCACUCAACAGUUCUCCCAGGACCAAGCUCCUUUUCUCUGAAUACUUAACAACACACUUGAACAGUUCUAAAACUUUUGACAGUAGAGAAAUGUGGGUGUAUUCUCAUUUUGAACUCACAGGAAAGAUGCAGGAUCGGCGAGGUGCUGAGGCAGCGAAGUGUCAAUCAUGCAUGUGAACACACACACACACACACACUCACACACAGAGUCGGAUUUCCUGACAGAGGGUAGAAACUCUCCAUGACUGUCAUGGGAGGGAGCAGAGACUUUUCUCUUCUCUCAUGUCACUUUUUGAACAGAACCCACUGCUGUGACAUGUGUAGGCAGCAGGUCUCAUCCCGGGAACAGCCCGACGGCCUGGGAGCCGGCAUUUCUGAGCCACUCGCAAGCAGAGCAGGCAGGCAGGCCGGCCCACAGGUGCGGGGCCCACCUGAGGAAGCAGGAAGGGCAGGAGGGCCGCCUUCCCCUUCACUACUUGGGAAUCCUGCCAUCCGUCCAGCAGAGUGGCCGGGAAUACACCAACGGUGGUGAUUUUUCCAGCACUGACAAUUGCUGGGGUGAGCCGUGGGCUGCUCUGAAUUCAGCUCUCCUGCCGAAUAGAUUCAAUCGAGGUCUCCAAGUGCCGACGCUCAGCGCAGAGCAGCUCCGUUCCACGUCAGUCACCCACACCGCUCUGGGCUCUUUCUCAGUGACGGGGAGGAAUGAGUGGAGAGUCUGCUGAUGCACUUGGUUCCUUGCUGUCCACGAAAUAACAGCAAAUAAGUACAAGAAAGAUGAGAGCGAGAGAGAGAGAGACCGUGAGCGCAAGAAUUACACCCGGUAUGGAAGACGACUCUAAAUAAUGAACUUCUCUUGAGGCAAAAGAGAUGCCCCUCGAACUAACUGAGCUUUAACUUAAUGGAACCCAGACAGGAGCUGCAUGAUCCAACUUCCUAUCCAGGGAUUCUGAGAGGCUGAACAAUUCUAGCCAAGAAAACGAUUAUAAUAUUGAUGAAAUCAAAGCAUCUAGAAGACCGUGCAUUCCAUUUUUAAUCUAGCUGAGAUGGCAUAAUUCAUACCUCCUCAAAUUUGGACAAUUAUAAAUGACUCAACCAGCGAGUGCCAAAUUCCACCUACACCCUGAGUAUACCUGAAGCAACCACCGAAACCCAAGCUAAUCGCCAGAUGUAUGCUCACUGAGUGGGUAACUUACCUAACCUUGAGCUCCAUAAAGUACUCUCCUGAUCUUCUGGCGAAUAAUUCAGCAAACGUCUUUCGUUGCUUGAGAAUGCCCUGGGAGGCCUCCUUCUUAUCCUCAGUAAGCUUGUCAGCAUGUUUCUUCCAAGCACAUAUAGCACUUCCCCAGAGAGAUCUAACAAAAUAAAAAGUUU